This 212-nucleotide long non-coding RNA is filed under the name Lathyrus oleraceus (garden pea). Its description in RNAcentral is "Pisum sativum (pea) long non-coding RNA (PSAT_LNC038566)". Lineage: Eukaryota; Viridiplantae; Streptophyta; Magnoliopsida; Fabales; Fabaceae. The record is from RNAcentral.
UUUUUUCUUUUCUUUUUUUCUUUUUUUUUCAAUUUUUUUUAUUGCGUUUCUUUUGAAAAUAAACAUGCUAUGAUGCAGAUGAUGCAGACAAGACUGGCAGGCUAUGCAUCUCGAAACACAGGAUCGAAGCUUCGGCUCGAACUCGGAACCACAAUUCAUCUGAAACCCAAAGUCAUCUGAUAAACUGUCAUCUGAACCCAUAUCUGGAGAAC